This 27-nucleotide non-coding RNA is filed under the name Cricetulus griseus (Chinese hamster). The record is from RNAcentral. Lineage: Eukaryota; Metazoa; Chordata; Mammalia; Rodentia; Cricetidae.
CCGGAAAAGGACAAAGAGCAGCUCUGC